Camellia sinensis is the source of this 1957-nucleotide non-coding RNA. The record is from RefSeq and is a predicted model, not a curated record. Lineage: Eukaryota; Viridiplantae; Streptophyta; Magnoliopsida; Ericales; Theaceae.
UUGAGAUAUAUGUUAUUAGAAUCAUACGAUUUGCGAUUCGAUUCAGUGGGUAAUCAAUAUGAACAGGUUGUAUGAGUCGCAAAUAGCCAUGAAUUGUAGGUGAAUCGGUAAACCAAAUCGGUGAAUCGUGAAGUGAAUUGAUUCGAUUUGCUAAAAUCAAUGUUUGACUUUUUUUUUUAGUUUUUUAUUGUUGGAAAAGGGUUCAGACAACCUUUUUAAGGUCUUUAGGAUUACUAUAUGCCAUCUUUUGACUUUCUCCCUCCCUCUUUUGUUAGUUGUUCAUAUCUCUUUAUUCCCCUUAACAUUAUAUCCACAAGUUAGUAGAGUUUUGUUAGUUUUAUUUAUAGAUUUAUUUAUUUUUGCUACUGUUGUUGAAAUAUAUAUAUAUAUAUAUAAUUAAGAUGAAUCUUCCUUUCGAAUUCUGCAAACCCUUCUGCUCCGUCAUCUAUGUUGGACACUCCCACCUUUUAUUGUAGUAGUUUUUUUUUUUUCUUUUUGUUUGUUUGUUUGUUUGUUUGUUGUUGUUGUUAUUGUUGUUGUUGUUAUCCAAGGAAUUAGGUUUAAGUAUGAAAGAUCUUUUCUCCUAAAAUCAAUGCACAAUUUUUUGUUGAGUUGGAGUGUUGUAGAGAAAUUAUCAAUUCAUGUAAGGCUGAUGUUUUUAUUCUUAAUGCUUUGUACAUGUGACGGAGGCAUUGAAAUUUGGUGAGGAGAAUAGUUCUGAAGGCUCCAUCAAUAGAGGGAAUGGAAGGUGAGGGGAGAUUAAUUGAAUGAUCAAACUUUUGGUUGAGGAAAAAGCUCCCCUUUGCUAAACUUUUGAUUGGGAUUUUUGAAACGGAUGCUUCUUGCAUUGUGGUGCCAAAGAUAUCUAUGAAGGUUAUCAAAGAAAGAGCAUUUUUCUUGGUUAGUAAAUCUCUCUCUUUUUCCCUCUAUAUGGAUGUGUCUCUAAAACAUUUUUUGAUAUAUAGUAGUUUCUCGUGUGAACCCCACAUAUGUAUGGAUGCGUAAAAUAUUUGCUACAUAGAUUAAAAAAUAGAGAGGGGGGUGUGUGGGUGUGGGAUGAGGGAGAGUAGAGAUAGAGGGAGGCAAAAAGUGCAGAUAAAUGAAUAAAAUGGUGCGAGACAAAUUGCUUCUUGAAAAGUUAUCUACCUAAAUGCUGAAUUCCAUGUCUCUAAAAGAUUAACAUUCUCAAUUUUAGAAAUUAAAUAUAUUUGCUGAAUCAUUAGUGCUUGAUGAUGGAGGGAGGCAUUUAUAAACUUUAGUGCUUGAUAAUGUAUUUAAGAGCUAAAAUCUAAUAAUGUGUUUAGAACUUUCAAUUAGUGGUUGAUGAUUUUUGCUUUUGCAACUAUUGUAGAUAGUGCUUGAUGUUUUGAGAUUGGUGUAAUUCAUAGACAUGUAUGCUUGAUUGGAGGGUUAGUUGAUUGCCCAAAGAGAGGUGGUUUUGUUGAUUGACGUUUAGUUUUUUCUAUUUUUUUUUUUACUUUCUAUUUGUCUCUCUCUGUAAUUGGUUCAUUAACUAAGCUUUAGCAAGAGAGAAAUGUAAUACGAAGAGUUUGAAACUUGAGCUUAGAAAAGUAAAAUGAGUGUUGUAACUAACUAAUACUGCAAUAUCACUCAGACUUGAGUGUAAUAUGUUCAUGAGUUUGCUAAUCAUACAUUUACUAAUUGAUACAUUUUUCUUGCUACAUUUUGAGCUUCGAGUGGCAGUGUACGAUUUUUCUUUCCAUGCCUUUUCUUUUUAAACAUUACCUAUCAAUAGUUGACAUGAGAGAUUAUAUUGCAAUCAUUGAGAUUAUAUUCUUUUUGAAUUUCAGCCGAAGUUCAAAUGAGAUUAACCUCCUCAAUUAGAACAAGAAAGAUUGAUAGCUUGGCUGCAAGAGCUAGGUGAAGACGGAGCAAGUGAGUUUGAAAUGUUGACUGAAAUUUUGGGGGUUAGAAGAAGAGAGGAAGAGACUGAGGA